RNAcentral lists this small RNA (29 nucleotides) under Bombyx mori (domestic silkworm). RNAcentral describes it as "ovarian small RNA-4896". Lineage: Eukaryota; Metazoa; Arthropoda; Insecta; Lepidoptera; Bombycidae. The record is from RNAcentral.
CGCGGUGUGAUCGGCCUUGAAGGCCAGAA